RNAcentral lists this ribosomal RNA (497 nucleotides) under uncultured bacterium. Its description in RNAcentral is "partial 16S ribosomal RNA". It matches the Rfam family "Bacterial small subunit ribosomal RNA", at positions 28 to 507 of the family's 1533-position model. The record is from RNAcentral.
GAUGAACGCUGGCGGCGUGCCUAAUACAUGCAAGUCGAGCGAACAGACGAGGAGCUUGCUCCUCUGACGUUAGCGGCGGACGGGUGAGUAACACGUGGAUAACCUACCUAUAAGACUGGGAUAACUUCGGGAAACCGGAGCUAAUACCGGAUAAUAUAUUGAACCGCAUGGUUCAAUAGUGAAAGACGGUUUUGCUGUCACUUAUAGAUGGAUCCGCGCCGCAUUAGCUAGCUGGUAAGGUAACGGCUUACCAAGGCAACGAUGCGUAGCCGACCUGAGAGGGUGAUCGGCCACACUGGAACUGAGACACGGUCCAGACUCCUACGGGAGGCAGCAGUAGGGAAUCUUCCGCAAUGGGCGAAAGCCUGACGGAGCAACGUCGCGUGAGUGAUGAAGGUCUUCGGAUCGUAAAACUCUGUUAUUAGGGAAGAACAAAUGUGUAAGUAACUAUGCACGUCUUGACGGUACCUAAUCAGAAAGCCACGGCUAACUACGUG